CGAGCGCCCUUUCGGGGGAGCGGCGGACGGGUGAGUAACGCGUGGGAAUAUGCCCUUCUCUACGGAAUAGUCUCGGGAAACUGGGGGUAAUACCGUAUACGCCCUUUUGGGGAAAGAUUUAUCGGAGAAGGAUUAGCCCGCGUUGGAUUAGGUAGUUGGUGGGGUAAUGGCCUACCAAGCCGACGAUCCAUAGCUGGUUUGAGAGGAUGAUCAGCCACACUGGGACUGAGACACGGCCCAGACUCCUACGGGAGGCAGCAGUGGGGAAUCUUAGACAAUGGGGGAAACCCUGAUCUAGCCAUGCCGCGUGAGUGAUGAAGGCCUUAGGGUUGUAAAGCUCUUUCAGCUGGGAAGAUAAUGACGGUACCAGCAGAAGAAGCCCCGGCUAACUCCGUGCCAGCAGCCGCGGUAAUACGGAGGGGGCUAGCGUUGUUCGGAAUUACUGGGCGUAAAGCGCACGUAGGCGGACCAGAAAGUUGGGGGUGAAAUCCCGGGGCUCAACCCCGGAACUGCCUUCAAAACUAUUGGUCUGGAGUUCGAGAGAGGUGAGUGGAAUUCCGAGUGUAGAGGUGAAAUUCGUAGAUAUUCGGAGGAACACCAGUGGCGAAGGCGGCUCACUGGCUCGAUACUGACGCU
RNAcentral lists this ribosomal RNA (636 nucleotides) under Paracoccus sp. KP1-56. RNAcentral's name for it is "bacterial SSU rRNA". It matches the Rfam family "Bacterial small subunit ribosomal RNA", at positions 63 to 747 of the family's 1533-position model. Lineage: Bacteria; Pseudomonadati; Pseudomonadota; Alphaproteobacteria; Rhodobacterales; Paracoccaceae. The record is from RNAcentral.